This 497-nucleotide ribosomal RNA is filed under the name uncultured bacterium. RNAcentral's name for it is "partial 16S ribosomal RNA". It matches the Rfam family "Bacterial small subunit ribosomal RNA", at positions 28 to 507 of the family's 1533-position model. The record is from RNAcentral.
GAUGAACGCUGGCGGCGUGCCUAAUACAUGCAAGUCGAGCGAACGGACGAGAAGCUUGCUUCUCUGAUGUUAGCGGCGGACGGGUGAGUAACACGUGGAUAACCUACCUAUAAGACUGGGAUAACUUCGGGAAACCGGAGCUAAUAACGGAUAAUUUUUUGAACCGCAUGGUUCAAAAGUUAAAGACGGUCUUGCUGUCACUUAUAGAUGGAUCCGCGCUGCAUUAGCUAGUUGGUAAGGUAACGGCUUACCAAGGCAACGAUGCAUAGCCGACCUGAGAGGGUGAUCGGCCACACUGGAACUGAGACACGGUCCUGACUCCUACGGGAGGCAGCAGUAGGGAAGCUUCCGCGAUGGGCGAAAGCCUGACGGAGCAACGCCGCGUGAGUGAUGAAGGUCUUCGGAUCGUAAAACUCUGUUAUUAGGGAAGAACAUAUGUGUAAGUAACUGUGCACAUCUUGACGGUACCUAAUCAGAAAGCCACGGCUAACUACGUG